GAUGAACGCUGGCGGCGUGCCUAAUACAUGCAAGUCGAGCGAACGGACGAGAAGCUUGCUUCUCUGAUGUUAGCGGCGGACGGGUGAGUAACACGUGGAUAACCUACCUAUAAGACUGGGAUAACUUCGGGAAACCGGAGCUAAUACCGGAUAAUAUUUUGAACCGCAUGGUUCAAAAGUGAAAGACGGUCUUGCUGUCCCUUAUAGAUGGAUCCGCGCUGCAUUAGCUAGUUGGUAAGGUAACGGCUUACCAAGGCAACGAUGCAUAGCCGACCUGAGAGGGUGAUCGGCCACACUGGAACUGAGACACGGUCCAGACUCCUACGGGAGGCAGCAGUAGGGAAUCUUCCGCAAUGGGCGGAAGCCUGACGGAGCAACGCCGCGUGAGUGAUGAAGGUCUUCGGAUCGUAAAACUCUGUUAUUAGGGAAGAACAUAUGUGUAAGUAACUGUGCACGUCUUGACGGUACCUAAUCAGAAAGCCACGGCUAACUACGUG
Molecule: ribosomal RNA, 497 nt
Filed under: uncultured bacterium
Lineage: Bacteria
Description: partial 16S ribosomal RNA
Rfam family: Bacterial small subunit ribosomal RNA
Source: RNAcentral